ACGCUCGACACCUACGGGAGGCAGCAGUGGGGAAUAUUGCACAAUGGGGGAAACCCGUGAUGCAGCGACGCCGCGUGAGUGAAGAAGUAUUUCGGUAUGUAAAGCUCUAUCAGCAGGGAAGAAGAUGACGGUACCUGAGUAAGAACGCCCCGGCUAACUACGUGUCAGCAGCCCGGCGGUUAAUCUGGAGCGGGCUGGCAAGGC
This 204-nucleotide ribosomal RNA is filed under the name uncultured bacterium. RNAcentral describes it as "partial 16S ribosomal RNA". It matches the Rfam family "Bacterial small subunit ribosomal RNA", at positions 328 to 539 of the family's 1533-position model. The record is from RNAcentral.